Molecule: long non-coding RNA, 2504 nt
Organism: Sinocyclocheilus grahami
Lineage: Eukaryota; Metazoa; Chordata; Actinopteri; Cypriniformes; Cyprinidae
Exons: 3
Source: RefSeq, a predicted model, not a curated record
UUUCCGCUUCCACAAUUGUCUAUAGAUGUGCCAAUAAAGCCGCAUUAAGCGGCGCUUUAACACCGGCUAAUGCUUAUCUGAGACGAUGGGCUUUUAAAUUGAAAUCUCCCUGCCACAUGCUUGUAUCGGAAAACGCCGGCUGCAGACCGUUGUGUUUCUUCUCAGUUCGCCAGCUUGCAUAUUUCCGUCUCUUCGCGGCUUCGGCAGCGCCACAGCACAGUGUUAUUUUCGCGGUAACGUUGUACGUGCAGCGGGAGUCGCUCGGCAGCAUUAGCAGAAGUCGCGCUCCUUUGUUCGCCUAUACGGUGUCUUUUAAAAAAAGGAGCAACAUAAAACGACAUAUUAGCUGCAUUUAAACCAUUGUGCUUACGUUAUCGCUUCUUAAAGGCAAAGCCUGUCUUAUUAACAUCAUUGCACGUUUGAACAAUUUGACGGCUUUGUAAGAGUCAUUUGAGUGUGUUUUUGGCGAGUGAAUCCCCUGGAUGGGUUGCACACAAGGACUGCGGACUUCUGAAACCAUUCGCGCUUAAAAUACUGCUGCAAAUGUAAUUAUAAGCAUGCAACCGAACAGCUCUGUGAUGUAAAAUAUUUCGGUAACCAGUUAUUUGAGGCUUCAUGUGGGGUUUUGUCUGUGUUUUGCUUGUACUGCGUUAUGAAAUCAUUUCAAGGUCAACCGGCCUGGCCCGUACUCCUAUUUUACCAUUGAUGAGUGCAGAUCAUGACAAUUAAGAUGUAAAUGACCAACAAGCACAUUAUCUGAUUUCUUAAGCAUGAUAUUUGACUACUAAACCAUAGCACAUUUUUUUUCACCCUAGUUUUAUAUGCCCUACUUGUUAUGGAGGCUGCAUUGAUUUAAAUGGCUUGUUUGAUGCAGCAACUGUACUAACGUUUGGACUUACUGAUCGAUUAAGGGUUGUCUUCUGAAACAUGUAUCUUAGGGUGUUACUUUGAAACAAGGGACAACUGAAAAGCAGGACCUCAGGCACAGCUGUGAAUGAAUUGGUGUCAUGUCCUGACACUAGCUGGUCCUCUGUGUUAGGUAAUCAGUUGUCAUGGAGGAUUGUCCAAAUGUAGGUGGUUUACUUGGCGUACACCAGCCCUUGUGUCCUCCGGGUCACCUUUACUCUGAAUGGGCUGGUUCUAAUUAACACCAGGACUCAUGCAUCACAUCCGAAUGACUACGUGUGAUGAUAGAACCAACCUUUUGCACUUGAGGGAUACCACAUUAAAACAUUCGUAUUGCCAAGUUUAUUAGAAGGCGUGAGAUUUGGCACGGAAUGGUUGUGUUAGAAUGCCUCGUUCCCUAAGGCGUGUUGGGUGAUUAUGGGUCUUUCAUUGAGUUUAUAUUAUAGGUGAAGUGCCAUCCACAGUUUAUGCAAUGCAUAGCGGUCUUGUAUCAAGAAGUUGUCUUGCAUUUCAGGUUGUCUUUAUUAACAUCAGUUCAGGCACAAUGCCAAGCACACUUGCAUGUUCUCUCUCAUUAAAUUCACAAGGUUGGAUUUGACUUUUGCUAAGAGGUGUUAUGGGUUGUAUAAGGAGAGGCGAGUAGCCCACACUUCUCAUUUAUUAACCUUUGUGACAUUUUCUGAAACUUAACUUGAUCUAAUUUAUUUAAACUCUAAAAAAUGCUGGGUUAUUUUUUUUUGCCCCGAAUGCUGGGUUCAGAUUGUUGGGUCAUUUUAUUGGGUUAAUUUUAAUAUUGUUUUACCCAGGUGCUGGGUCAUUUUUUUUUUUACAGUCAAUACAAAUGAUGUACCCCCUCACACACCCAGCGCUGGGUCAGUGUAACCCAAUGUUGGGUAGUCUGUGACAAACUGGUUAAAACUGGAUACGUUUGUCAGUGGUCAUUUUGUGUUCUGUCCUAACUCCUAAGAGAAACUUGACUGACGGGAAACUUCCUGAAUGGAAUUAAGCUAACAUCUCCUUGGAACUCUAGCCUUCUACAAACACAGCAUUCACUGGAUCUACACUCAAAGUGAACGUCGCCACCACGGAAGUUUCACCUACAGUCAAAAUAAUGCUCGACCAGGGCUGAAACACGACGCUACUUCACUGUUAUAUGUAACAAAGUUUCUGUGUACUCCACUGACUACAACAGGAGUGCUAUUGAUCUAGUGCGCCAUUGUUGCAGCUGUGGUCGCGCUAUGUGUUUGACGGGUUGAAACUUAAAUGUCGGACAGACAAGAUGGCACGAGAUUCCCAUUGGCUGCUCCUGUCACGUCCUAAUACCUUUACUGAAUGUUUUUGAAGAUUUCAUGAUUGUAAAAGACUGACUUGACAUUGAACAAAAAAUAUUCUAUAUGAACUGUUCUUGUCCUAUAUAAAACAGAUUUUAAUUACAUUUUUCUUAUUUAAAAUGAAAAACCUUCAAUAGGUUGACUGACCCAGCACUAUGUCAAAAAACAACCCAGUAAAUGGGUUAAUGUAUAAAACCCAACUAGCUGGGUUAAAAUAACCCAGCAUGUGUUCUGUCUAAUAUUUACCCAGUGCUGGGUUGCCAAAUA